CAGCCGCCGCGGUAAAACGGAGGGUGCAAGCGUUAUCCGGAUUCACUGGGUUUAAAGGGUACGUAGGCGGGCAGGUAAGUCAGUGGUGAAAUCUUCGAGCUUAACUCGGAAACUGCCGUUGAUACUAUCUGUCUUGAAUAACGUUGAGGUGAGCGGAAUAUGUCAUGUAGCGGUGAAAUGCUUAGAUAUGACAUAGAACACCGAUUGCGAAGGCAGCUCACUAAACGCUCAUUAACGCUGAGGCACGAAAGCGUGGGGAUCAAACAGGAUUAGAGACCCCAGUAGUCCCUGUCUCUUAUAC
This 301-nucleotide ribosomal RNA is filed under the name uncultured bacterium. Its description in RNAcentral is "partial 16S ribosomal RNA". It matches the Rfam family "Bacterial small subunit ribosomal RNA", at positions 509 to 807 of the family's 1533-position model. The record is from RNAcentral.